UACGAAGGGUGCAAGCGUUAGUCGGAAUUACUGGGCGUAAAGCGUGCGUAGGCGGUUUUCUAAGUCUGCCGUGAAAGCCCCGGGCUCAACCUGGGAAUGGCGGUGGAUACUGGAAAGCUGGAGUGCGGUAGAGGAGGGUGGAAUUCCCGGUGUAGCGGUGAAAUGCGUAGAGAUCGGGAGGAACAUCAGUGGCGAAGGCGGCCCUCUGGACCAGCACUGACGCUGAGGCACGAAAGCGUGGGGAGCAAACAGG
RNAcentral lists this ribosomal RNA (253 nucleotides) under uncultured bacterium. RNAcentral describes it as "partial 16S ribosomal RNA". It matches the Rfam family "Bacterial small subunit ribosomal RNA", at positions 524 to 776 of the family's 1533-position model. The record is from RNAcentral.